CGGGGUGUAGCUCAGUUGGUAGAGCGCGCGCUUCGGGUGCGCGAGGUCGUGGGUUCAAGUCCCGCCAUCCCGA
This 73-nucleotide transfer RNA is filed under the name Candidatus Buchananbacteria bacterium. RNAcentral's name for it is "tRNA-Pro". It matches the Rfam family "tRNA". Rfam says of the family: Transfer RNA (tRNA) molecules are approximately 80 nucleotides in length. Their secondary structure includes four short double-helical elements and three loops (D, anti-codon, and T loops). Lineage: Bacteria; Candidatus Buchananiibacteriota. The record is from RNAcentral.